UGUUCUUUUUUUUUUUUUUACAAUAGGUGGGGAUGUUUGGGUGGAAAAUAAUAUCAUUGACACAUUUGCAAAACUGUUGAAUGAUGAUCGAGACCAGUGCGUAAAGUCGAACAUGAAAUUCUACUUUUCGACAAUUCCUUACAAUAUGCUGUUACAAAACGACGCAUAUGGUGGGACACAAGAUAGCCAAGGAACUGAGCAGAAGAGGUUUCAGAAUUUUGUGGAUUCCAUUAAGCAUGAAAUGUCAGUUGCAAAUGUUUCAUCUCUAAAGGGAUACCAUCUGGUAAAAAUGUUCUUUUUCUUUGCUAAAUGUUCUUUUUUUUUUUGGCUAAGUUGAUGUUCUUUUUUCUUUGCCUAAUGUUCUUUUCUGUUUUUGUAGUUGUUCUUUCCUGUCUGUUCUGGUGCACAUUUCUUCCUCAUUGUGAUAAAUAAUAAAACAAAGAAAGUUGAAAUUCUUGACAAUCUCGAUCUACCGGAGGGAAUACCUUUUGAGAACAAAUAUGAACAGAAUCCCCAAAAGACUUUUGAAGCAUGGUUGAAGUUUUGUGAGCUGGAAGGGUAUCCAUUAAAAAACACACAAAUCAAGCAAUAUGAAAUCACAUUACCUUCAAUGCCAUGGAAAAAUCGAGAAAACAAAGUCGACUGUGGGGUGUAUGCAAUGCGGCAUAUGGAGACAUAUAAAGGCAACCCGAAUUGGGAUUGUGGAUUUACAAAC
This is a long non-coding RNA of Spinacia oleracea (spinach), 715 nucleotides long. RefSeq lists it as uncharacterized. NCBI's taxonomy places the organism in Eukaryota, Viridiplantae, Streptophyta, Magnoliopsida, Caryophyllales, Amaranthaceae. The record is from RefSeq and is a predicted model, not a curated record. The transcript is spliced from 3 exons.